RNAcentral lists this ribosomal RNA (483 nucleotides) under Enhydris innominata. Its description in RNAcentral is "partial 16S ribosomal RNA". It matches the Rfam family "Bacterial large subunit ribosomal RNA", at positions 1844 to 2591 of the family's 2925-position model. Lineage: Eukaryota; Metazoa; Chordata; Lepidosauria; Squamata; Homalopsidae. The record is from RNAcentral.
UAUUAAAGGCAACGCCUGCCCAGUGAACAAUUAAACGGCCGCGGUACCCUAACCGUGCAAAGGUAGCGAAAUCAUUUGUCUAUUAAUUGUAGACCUGUAUGAAAGGCACAAUGAGGGUCUAACUGUCUCUUAUAAUAAAUCAAUUAAACUGAUCCUUCAGUACAAAAGCUGAAAUACCAACAUAAGACCAGAAGACCCUGUGAAGCUUUAACUAACCUAUUAAACCCAAUAAUAGCUACUUUCGGUUGGGGCGACCUUGGAAAAAAAAGAAACUUCCAAACNUAUGGUUAAAACCCACAAANANNGGCCCACAAGCCNAACUANCGACCCAGCACAGCUGAUAAUCGAACCAAGUUACUCCAGGGAUAACAGCGCUAUCUUCUUCAAGAGCCCAUAUCAAAAAGAAGGUUUACGACCUCGAUGUUGGAUCAGGACAUCCUAAUGGUGUAGCAGCUAUUAAGGGUUCGUUUGUUCAACGAUUAA